RNAcentral lists this ribosomal RNA (205 nucleotides) under Clostridioides difficile. RNAcentral describes it as "partial 23S ribosomal RNA". It matches the Rfam family "Bacterial large subunit ribosomal RNA", at positions 2623 to 2828 of the family's 2925-position model. Lineage: Bacteria; Bacillati; Bacillota; Clostridia; Peptostreptococcales; Peptostreptococcaceae. The record is from RNAcentral.
GAGACAGUUCGGUCCCUAUCCGUCGCAGGCGUAGGAAAUUUGAGAAGACCUGUCCUUAGUACGAGAGGACCGGGAUGGACGUACCUCUGGUGUACCAGUUGUUCUGCCAAGGGCAUGGCUGGGUAGCUAUGUACGGAAUGGAUAAGCGCUGAAAGCAUCUAAGCGCGAAGCCAACUUCAAGAUAAGAUUUCCCACCGCAAGGGUA